This 558-nucleotide small RNA is filed under the name Pan troglodytes (chimpanzee). Its description in RNAcentral is "retained intron". The record is from RNAcentral. Lineage: Eukaryota; Metazoa; Chordata; Mammalia; Primates; Hominidae.
UUUGAGUGGGACCAAGAAGAGCAUACAAAGCUGAAAUGUUCUCCAGAAGUUGAUUUCCAAUGGGGAUAAACAUUCCAGUUGGCUUUUGAGUGGAUACUUGCAGUGAGAGCAUUGACACUGGAAACACUAGUUCCCAUUUUAAUUACUUAAAACACCACGAUGAAAAGAAAUACCUGUGAUUUGCUUUCUCGGAGCAAAAGUGCCUCUGAGGAAACACUACAUUCCAGUAAUGAAGAGGAAGACCCUUUCCGUGGAAUGGAACCCUAUCUUGUCCGGAGACUUUCAUGUCGCAAUAUUCAGCUUCCCCCUCUCGCCUUCAGACAGUUGGAACAAGCUGACUUGAAAAGUGAAUCAGAGAACAUUCAACGACCAACCAGCCUCCCCCUGAAGAUUCUGCCGCUGAUUGCUAUCACUUCUGCAGAAUCCAGUGGGUGAGUGCCCUCAGAUGUCAUUUCCCCAUUUUAUAUUUUAGAUGGUGAUUGUUGUCUGUGGUCUUUUGAGUUUUUGUGGCUCAUUGCUUGAUUUGAGUGGGAGAACAAUGGGGUUUCUAGAGUCAAA